RNAcentral lists this ribosomal RNA (340 nucleotides) under Plasmodium coatneyi. Its description in RNAcentral is "partial 18S ribosomal RNA". Lineage: Eukaryota; Apicomplexa; Aconoidasida; Haemosporida; Plasmodiidae. The record is from RNAcentral.
AAUACGCGACGCUUUGUGCGCAUUUUCGCUAUUAUGUGUAAAUUUUUCGAAACAGACUCUCUUUGAAUCUAUCAAAAUCCCCUCGAAAUCGCGAAGCGAUGUUGGAGAUUAAAAAGAAUCAGUUUAAUAAAAGCAAACACAUAAUAGCGAAAAUGCGCAGUGCGAAUACUACCGCAUGGAAUAACAAAAUUGAACAGUCCCCUUUUUGUUCUCCUUUCUUAUUUUGAGGUAAUACAAUAAAGAAAAGAGGCUCGGGGAAUAUCGUACCCACACAACAGGAAAUAUUCUAACUUCCCAUACAAUUCCUACCCAUUAACAUUAACCUCCAUAACAACCCAAC